AAAAUAAUCCUACCCUUUGUGAAUUUUGUUUGUUUGAAUAAUUUUUUUUUUUAAAAAAUUAUUGGAGUCUUUCCCUUUAGAGUUUGCUUUUGAGUUUGUAAAAGAAUUCGAAAACAUCUAAAGGGGAUGGUCAAUAAUUUUUUUGAAAAAAGACAUUUUUUAAAAUUAAACUUUUUGUAUUCAUUUGUCUAAAAAUUAUUUUUAUAAUAUAAAAACAACUUUUGACAAUGGAUCUCUUGGUUCUCGCAACGAUGAAGAACGCAGCAAAAUGCGAUAAGUAGUGUGAAUUGCAGAAUACGUGAAUCAUCGAAUCUUUGAACGCAUAUUGCACUUUUUUAGUUUACUAAAAAAGUAUGUCUGUUUGAGUAUCAGUAAAAUAUUCUCAUAAAAAUCAUUGUGUAUUUUUAUGGUUAUGAGUGUUUUACAACGAUACAAGUUGUUUCACUUUAAAUUUUUUUUUAAUAUUGAAAUUUUUCUAAUUUUAAUAAUUAAAAUUGGAUAAAAUUUUCCCGUCAAAAGGAAUAACCUAAACAAUUUUAAUGAUUAAUUUUAGCAAAAUUUUCGUAAAAAAGGAAAAUUUUUAUUAAAAUAACUUGAUCUCAAAUCAGAUAAGAGUACCCGCUGAACUUAAGCAUAUCAAUAAGCGGAGGAAAAGAAACUAACAAGGAUUCCCUUAGUAACGGCGAGUGAAGCGGGAAGAGCUCAAAUUUGAAAUCUUCAAGGUUUUACCUUGACGAAUUGUAGUUUAAAGAAGUGUUUUCUGCUGAAGUUUUGGUAAAAGUUCUUUGGAAUAGGACAUCAUAGAGGGUGAGAAUCCCGUAUUUGACCAUUAUUUUCAGCUUUGUGAUACACUUUCAAAGAGUCGGAUUGUUUGGGUAUGCAGUCCAAAAUGGGUGGUAAAUUUCAUCUAAAGCUAAAUAUUGGCGAGAGACCGAUAGCGAACAAGUACCGUGAGGGAAAGAUGAAAAGAACUUUGAAAAGAGAGUUAAACAGUACGUGAAAUUGUCAAAAGGGAAGCGUUUGACACCAGUGUUGUUUUCUCGAAAAUCAAUUAAAAAUGGCUCGAUUUUGUAUUGCUGAGACCUUUAAAAGCUCACUGUACAUUUUUCGUGUCUUUUUUAAUGCACUUUUCGUUUAACAAGUCAACAUCAGUUUCUUUUGUUGUAAAAGGGUCAUUGGAAGGUGGCUUUCUUUUCGGAGAAAGUGUUUAUAGCCUUUGGCCUCUGCAAUCGGAGAGACUGAGGUCUGCAGCGUAGACUCUUCGGGUUGGAUACAUUUGUGCUAAGUUAUAGCUUCUUAUAGACAACUUGUUGACUAUAAUUAGUCUUGUAGCUUACUCGCUUAUGCUAUUUUACCUACGCUUAGGAUG
Molecule: unclassified non-coding RNA, 1369 nt
Filed under: uncultured Neocallimastigales
Lineage: Eukaryota; Fungi; Neocallimastigomycota; Neocallimastigomycetes; Neocallimastigales
Description: partial contains internal transcribed spacer 1, 5.8S ribosomal RNA, internal transcribed spacer 2, and large subunit ribosomal RNA
Rfam family: Eukaryotic large subunit ribosomal RNA (bases 595-1369)
Source: RNAcentral